This is a non-coding RNA of Paramuricea clavata, 560 nucleotides long. The record is from the annotation of a GenBank genome assembly. NCBI's taxonomy places the organism in Eukaryota, Metazoa, Cnidaria, Anthozoa, Malacalcyonacea, Plexauridae.
UUUAACACUUCGCCAAUUAAUUAUAGACUAAAGCGAAAUAGAUUUGAUGUAAUUGCAAAAGGCCUACGGCUACGUAUUCGCUAAUCAAUGGUGGAACUUUAGUCAUUUGGAGAAUUUUAGGGAGAGAAAAAGUGAAGUUUGUGAUGAAAGGUGAGAGUUGUUAAGCAAACGUCAUCGCUACUAGCACCGCAUGUAAACAAAGUUGAGAGGAACGAAUUAAGCAAGCAAGUUUUAAUACUUGAGUCCGCUUUGCUGAGGCGGAGAGGAAGCCAGGAUGUUGUAUAUAAAUACCAUAUAUAAACGGGUAGUCAAAUGGCGACUAAUGAGUAAUGGCCAGGAAAUGUUCAGUUCUUGUAUCAUUUACAUCCGAUACAAUUUUGUCAUUAUAAACAUGCAAGAGAAGGAAUGAGAGUUCUUGCUGUGUGCGGAAUAAUAUUCAGGAUUUCAGCCUCAUGAGUCAUGUUCUCGUUUAUCCUGGACAGGGUAGCUCAAAAAUUCAUGCAAAAUCCUGGUUUCCAUAUGAUCGUGAAAAAUAGAGAUCGUGAGAUCUUUCUCAACGG